This 438-nucleotide ribosomal RNA is filed under the name uncultured bacterium. RNAcentral's name for it is "partial 16S ribosomal RNA". It matches the Rfam family "Bacterial small subunit ribosomal RNA", at positions 339 to 795 of the family's 1533-position model. The record is from RNAcentral.
CUACGGGGUGCACCAGUGAGGAAUAUUGCACAAUGGGGGGAACCCUGAUGCAGCAACGCCGCGUGGAGGAUGACGCAUUUCGGUGUGUAAACUCCUUUUAUAUGUCAAGAAAAUGACGGUAGCAUAUGAAUAAGCACCGGCUAACUCCGUGCCAGCAGCCGCGGUAAUACGGAGGGUGCAAGCGUUACUCGGAAUCACUGGGCGUAAAGGACGCGUAGGCGGGUUGGAAAGUCAGGUGUGAAAUCCUACAGCUUAACUGUAGAACUGCACUUGAAACUUCUAAUCCAGAGUAUGGAGGGGGAGAUGGAAUUAGUGGUGUAGGGGUAAAAUCCGUAGAUAUCACUGGGAAUACCUAAAGCGAAGGCGAUCUCCUGGAACAUUACUGACGCUAAGGCGUGAAAGCGUGGGGAGCAAACAGGAUUAGAUACCCGGGUAGUC